CCUACGGGGCGCAGCAGUAGGGAAUAUUGCUCAAUGGGGGAAACCCCGAAGCAGCAACGCCGCGUGGAGGAUGAAGGUUUUCGGAUUGUAACCUCCUUUUGUUAGAGAAGAUAAUGACGGUAUCUAACGAAUAAGCACCGGCUAACUCCGUACCAGCAGCCGCGGUCAUACGGAGGGUGCAAGCGUUACUCGGAAUCACUGGGCGUAAAGAGCGCGUAGGCGGGAUAGCAAGUCAGAUGUGAAAUCCUAUGGCUUAACCAUAGAACUGCAUUUGAAACUGUUAUUCUAGAGUAUGGGAGAGGUAGGUGGAAUGCUUGGUGUAGGGGUAAAAUCCGUAGAGAUCAAGAGGAAUACUCAUUGCGAAGGCGACCUGCUAGAACAUAACUGACGCUGAUGCGCGAAAGCGUGGGGAGCAAACAGGAUUAGAUACCCGGGUAGUC
RNAcentral lists this ribosomal RNA (440 nucleotides) under uncultured bacterium. Its description in RNAcentral is "partial 16S ribosomal RNA". It matches the Rfam family "Bacterial small subunit ribosomal RNA", at positions 338 to 795 of the family's 1533-position model. The record is from RNAcentral.